AUGAGGGUGCCAAAUCUCUGUUCAAGGGUGCUGGUGCUAACAUCCUCCGUGCCGUUGCGGGUGCUGGUGUGUUGGCAGGUUAUGACAAGCUUCAGGUCAUUGUUUUUGGAAAGAAAUAUGGUUCUGGUGGUGCCUAAGUCCGACUUAACUACUUGUUUUUUUAGAAUUAGAAUAUGGUGAUGAAAAUCCUUUAAAUUCGAAGAACCAUUUUGGGGCAGAUAUUUUACGUUUUUCCCCGUCCCUUUUGAAUAAUUCAAAACUUAGAGCGGGUUAGAACUUUAAACCCUCA
This 289-nucleotide long non-coding RNA is filed under the name Nicotiana tabacum (common tobacco). RNAcentral's name for it is "long non-coding RNA (NTAB_LNC008105)". Lineage: Eukaryota; Viridiplantae; Streptophyta; Magnoliopsida; Solanales; Solanaceae. The record is from RNAcentral.